This 690-nucleotide long non-coding RNA is filed under the name Elaeis guineensis (African oil palm). Its description in RNAcentral is "long non-coding RNA (EGUI_LNC078061)". The record is from RNAcentral. Lineage: Eukaryota; Viridiplantae; Streptophyta; Magnoliopsida; Arecales; Arecaceae.
UUGGCGUCGACGUAGUUUGUAAUCCCUCGCCAGUUCUUGCUUUGAGUCGUCGUUCACCGAACUUCUUUUGUCUUCCGUCUUGUUCGUUGCCGACGUAAUUUGAAGGUUCCUGAUCGUCGCCGUGUCGAUUUGCCCUUAGGGACUAGAGAUUUUCGACAAGGAUUUUCUCUCUCGUCGAGACAAGGUCUCUUGUGCCUUUGAUGUAGUUCGUUUUUCACCUAUCGCCAGUGUAGUUCGUCGCUUUCUCUUUUCGUCUCCCCUUUUCUUCUGUGUUUGAGUGAGGGUCUUCCCUCUGCUCUUGACGGGGUCGUGAGAGUGUAGAGGAGUCAUUGAGGAAGCUUUCCUCCUUGUCGAUCAACCGAGUCUUUGUUUGCGUCGAGAUGAGGUCCUCCCCUUGUUCCCGACAGUCGGUUUCAGCUCGUGUCAGGACGAGGUUCUCCUCCUGUUCCUAACAAAGCUGUGGGGGCACAUAAGGGCCGUUGUGAGGGCCUCUCCCCCCAUCCGGUCUUUAGAAAAUCGGGCCUUCGACUUUGCUCAUGUUAGGACGAGGUUCUCCUCCUAUUCCUAACAAGGCUAUGGGGGCACAUAAAAGUCGUUGUAAGGGCCUCUCCCUCCAUCCGGUCUUUAAGAAACCGGACCUUCGGCUUUGCUCAUGUUAGGACGAGGUUCUCCUCCUGUUUCUAACAAGGC